This 451-nucleotide ribosomal RNA is filed under the name uncultured bacterium. RNAcentral's name for it is "bacterial SSU rRNA". It matches the Rfam family "Bacterial small subunit ribosomal RNA", at positions 28 to 505 of the family's 1533-position model. The record is from RNAcentral.
GAUGAACGCUGGCGGUGCGCCUAAUACAUGCAAGUCGAGCGAGACUUGCUCAGAGUUUACUUUGAGCAAUGACAGCGGCGGACGAGUGAGUAACACGUAAGAACCUACCCCACAGUCAGGGAUAACUCGGCGAAAGUCGGGCUAAUACCGGAUGUCCUCUACGGAGGAAAGAUUUAUCGCUGUGGGAGGGGCUUGCGGCCUAUCAGUUUGUUGGUGAGGUAAGAGCUCACCAAGACUAUGACGGGUAGCUGGUCUGAGAGGAUGAUCAGCCACGAUGGAACUGAGACACGGUCCAUACUCCUACGGGAGGCAGCAGUAAGGAAUAUUCCGCAAUGGGCGAAAGCCUGACGGAGCGACACCGCGUGGAGGAUGACGGCCCUUGGGUUGUAAACUCCUUUUAUGAGGGAAGAAGAUCUGACGGUACCUCAUGAAUAAGCCCCGGCUAAUUACG